GAUGAACGCUGGCGGCGUGCCUAAUACAUGCAAGUCGAGCGAACAGACGAGGAGCUUGCUCCUCUGACGUUAGCGGCGGACGGGUGAGUAACACGUGGAUAACCUACCUAUAAGACUGGGAUAACUUCGGGAAACCGGAGCUAAUACCGGAUAAUAUAUUUAACCGCAUGGUUCAAUAGUGAAAGACGGUUUUGCUGUCACUUAUAGAUGGAUCCGCUCCGCAUUAGCUAGUUGGUAAGGUAACGGCUUACCAAGGCAACGAUGCGUAGCCGACCUGAGAGGGUGAUCGCCCACACUGGAACUGAGACACGGUCCAGACUCCUACGGGAGGCAGCAGUAGGGAAUCUUCCGCAAUGGGCGAAAGCCUGACGGAGCAACGCCGCGUGAGUGAUGAAGGUCUUCGGAUCGUAAAACUCUGUUAUUAGGGAAGAACAAAUGUGUAAGUAACUAUGCACGUCUUGACGGUACCUAAUCAGAAAGCCACGGCUAACUACGUG
This 497-nucleotide ribosomal RNA is filed under the name uncultured bacterium. RNAcentral describes it as "partial 16S ribosomal RNA". It matches the Rfam family "Bacterial small subunit ribosomal RNA", at positions 28 to 507 of the family's 1533-position model. The record is from RNAcentral.